RNAcentral lists this ribosomal RNA (442 nucleotides) under uncultured bacterium. RNAcentral's name for it is "bacterial SSU rRNA". It matches the Rfam family "Bacterial small subunit ribosomal RNA", at positions 29 to 487 of the family's 1533-position model. The record is from RNAcentral.
AUUGAACGCUGGCGGCAUGCCUUACACAUGCAAGUCGAACGGUAACGCGGGGCAACCUGGCGACGAGUGGCGAACGGGUGAGUAAUACAUCGGAACGUGCCCAGUAGUGGGGGAUAGCCCGGCGAAAGCCGGAUUAAUACCGCAUACGACCUACGGGUGAAAGCGGGGGAUCGCAAGACCUUGCGCUAUUGGAGCGGCCGAUGUCAGAUUAGGUUGUUGGUGGGGGUAAAAGCCUACCAAGCCGACGAUCUGUAGCUGGUCUGAGAGGACGGCCAGCCACACUGGGACUGAGACACGGCCCAGACUCCUACGGGAGGCAGCAGUGGGGAAUUUUGGACAAUGGGCGAAAGCCUGAUCCAGCCAUGCCGCGUGCGGGAAGAAGGCCUCGGGUUGUAACCGCUUUGUCAGGGAAGAAACGACUCUGGGUUAAUACCCCGGGUAA